AUUGAACGCUGGCGGCAGGCUUAACACAUGCAAGUCGAGCGGGGGAAGGUAGCUUGCUACCGGACCUAGCGGCGGACGGGUGAGUAAUGCUUAGGAAUCUGCCUAUUAGUGGGGGACAACAUCUCGAAAGGGAUGCUAAUACCGCAUACGUCCUACGGGAGAAAGCAGGGGAUCUUCGGACCUUGCGCUAAUAGAUGAGCCUAAGUCGGAUUAGCUAGUUGGUGGGGUAAAGGCCUACCAAGGCGACGAUCUGUAGCGGGUCUGAGAGGAUGAUCCGCCACACUGGGAAUGAGACACGGCCCAGACUCCUAAGGGAGGCAGCAGUGGGGAAUAUUGGACAAUGGGGGGAACCCUGAUCCAGCCAUGCCGCGUGUGUGAAGAAGGCCUUAUGGUUGUAAAGAACUUUAAGCGAGGAGGAGGCUACUUUAGUUAAUACCUAGAGAUAGUGGACGUUACUCGCAGAAUAAGCACCGGCUAACUCUGUG
RNAcentral lists this ribosomal RNA (485 nucleotides) under uncultured bacterium. RNAcentral's name for it is "partial 16S ribosomal RNA". It matches the Rfam family "Bacterial small subunit ribosomal RNA", at positions 30 to 507 of the family's 1533-position model. The record is from RNAcentral.